This 535-nucleotide ribosomal RNA is filed under the name Candidatus Thorarchaeota archaeon MP8T_1. Its description in RNAcentral is "bacterial SSU rRNA". It matches the Rfam family "Archaeal small subunit ribosomal RNA", at positions 936 to 1467 of the family's 1478-position model. The record is from RNAcentral. Lineage: Archaea; Promethearchaeati; Candidatus Thorarchaeota.
CAGACAGCCGAAUGAGAGCCAGACUGAUGAUCUUGCUCGACGAGCUGAGAGCUGGUGCAUGGCCAUCGUAAAUUCGUGCCGUGAGGUAUCAGCUUAAGUGCUGCAACGAAUGAGAUCCCUGCCACCUAGUUGCCAGCCGGGAGCUUUGGCUCUGACGGGGCACACUAGGGGGACCGCCAGCGAAAAGCUGGAGGAAGGUGGGGGCCACGGUAGGUCAGUAUGCCGCGAUAUGGGCGGGGCCACACGCGUGCUACAAUGGCUGGGACAAUGCGUCACAACGCCGAAAGGUGAAGUCAAUCGCGAAACCCAGUCGUAGUCGGGAUCGCGGGUUGGAACUCACCCGCGUGAACCUGGAAUCCCUAGUAUCCGCGUGUCACUAUCGCGCGGAGAAUACGUCCCUGCUUCUUGCACACACCGCCCGUCGCUCCAUGCGAGCGGCCUUGGGGUGAGGUGUCGUCCAUUGGGCGAUGACGAAUCUUGGGGUCGCAAGUAGGGAGAAGUCGUAACAAGGUAUCCGUAGCGGAAGCUGCGGAUG